AAUCAACGCUGGCGGCGUGCCUCAGACAUGCAAGUCGAACGAGAAGUCCCCUUCGGGGGAUGGAUAGUGGCGCACGGGUGAGUAACACGUGGGUAAUUUACCUUUGGGUGGGGAACAACAGCCGGAAACGGCUGCUAAUACCGCAUAAUGCAGCGGCUCCUCAUGGAGACAGUUGUUAAAGCGGGGGAUCGCAAGACCUCGCGCCUGAAGAGAAGCCCGCGGCAGAUAGCUAGUUGGUAAGGUAAUGGCUUACCAAGGCGACGAUCUGUAACCGGCCUGAGAGGGCGGUCGGUCACACUGACACUGACAUACGGGUCAGACUCC
Molecule: ribosomal RNA, 324 nt
Filed under: uncultured bacterium
Lineage: Bacteria
Description: bacterial SSU rRNA
Rfam family: Bacterial small subunit ribosomal RNA
Source: RNAcentral